Pelobates cultripes (western spadefoot toad) is the source of this 233-nucleotide non-coding RNA. The record is from the annotation of a GenBank genome assembly. Lineage: Eukaryota; Metazoa; Chordata; Amphibia; Anura; Pelobatidae.
GCCGGGAACGCCUUAGGGAUCCUACUGGACCCUGCGCAGGCCAUAUACAACUCUGAGAGCCCAACGAGACGGGACCUUUUCCUCCCAUCCUCCCUCUCCAACUUAUCACCUCGAACGCGGAAUCACUACCGACCUUCUCCAAGAGGUCCUACCCCUCCCCCUCAGUUAACAUCCCCAUCCCCGGUACACGGGAGAUUCACACCCACAAUAUGCUCCACAAAACAGAGACGCUU